AACGAACGCUGGCGGCAUGCCUAACACAUGCAAGUCGAGCGAGACCUUCGGGUCUAGUGGCGCACGGGUGCGUAACGCGUGGGAACCUGCCCUUAGGUUCGGAAUAACUCCCCGAAAGGGGUGCUAAUACCGGAUAAUGUCUUCGGACCAAAGAUUUAUCGCCUUUGGAUGGGCCCGCGUUGGAUUAGCUAGUUGGUAGGGUAAAAGCCUCCCAAGGCGACGAUCCAUAGCUGGUCUGAGAGGAUGAUCAGCCACACUGGGACUGAGACACGGCCCAGACUCCUACGGGAGGCAGCAGUGGGGAAUAUUGGACAAUGGGCGAAAGCCUGAUCCAGCAAUGCCGCGUGAGUGAUGAAGGCCUUAGGGUUGUAAAGCUCUUUUACCCGGGAUGAUAAUGACAGUACCGGGAGAAUAAGCUCCGGCUAACUCCGUG
Molecule: ribosomal RNA, 433 nt
Filed under: uncultured bacterium
Lineage: Bacteria
Description: partial 16S ribosomal RNA
Rfam family: Bacterial small subunit ribosomal RNA
Source: RNAcentral